UCUAACUUACUAUCCCCAAGACAAAUAGCGUUGACAUGAGCUUUGGGGUUCGUUUCAGGUUGACCAGGAAAGACUCCUGGUGUUUGAGAAGAGGCGGCCACUUGUUGGGCCACUUGGGAGAUUUGGGUCUCAAGCAUUUUGGUGUGUGUGGCGAUAGAAUCGACCUUGGUAGUGAGUUUGGAGAGAGAGUCGUUCAGAAAUCCUGUUUGGUUUUUCAGUUCUUGAAGAUUUUUAUUUUGAUUAGCUAUGCAAUUUUCCAACAAAAUCUCCAAACUUGAUUUCUG
Molecule: long non-coding RNA, 284 nt
Filed under: Medicago truncatula (barrel medic)
Lineage: Eukaryota; Viridiplantae; Streptophyta; Magnoliopsida; Fabales; Fabaceae
Description: long non-coding RNA (MTRU_LNC004112)
Source: RNAcentral